RNAcentral lists this transfer RNA (76 nucleotides) under Pseudomonas syringae pv. actinidiae. Its description in RNAcentral is "tRNA-His". It matches the Rfam family "tRNA". Rfam says of the family: Transfer RNA (tRNA) molecules are approximately 80 nucleotides in length. Lineage: Bacteria; Pseudomonadati; Pseudomonadota; Gammaproteobacteria; Pseudomonadales; Pseudomonadaceae. The record is from RNAcentral.
GUGGUAGUGUCCGAGCGGUUAAGGAGCAGGAUUGUGACUCCUGUUUUCGUGGGUUCGAAUCCCAUCUAUCACCCCA